UGAACUUAAGCAUAUCAAUAAGCGGAGGAAAAGAAACUAACAAGGAUUCCCCUAGUAACUGCGAGUGAAGCGGGAAAAGCUCAAAUUUAAAAUCUGGCGGUCUCUGGCCGUCCGAGUUGUAAUCUAGAGAAGUGUUAUCCGCGCUGGACCGUGUACAAGUCUCCUGGAAUGGAGCAUCAUAGAGGGUGAGAAUCCCGUCUUUGACACGGACUACCAGGGCUUUGUGAUGCGCUCUCAAAGAGUCGAGUUGUUUGGGAAUGCAGCUCAAAAUGGGUGGUAAAUUCCAUCUAAAGCUAAAUAUUGGCGAGAGACCGAUAGCGAACAAGUACCGUGAGGGAAAGAUGAAAAGAACUUUGGAAAGAGAGUUAAACAGUACGUGAAAUUGCUGAAAGGGAAACGCUUGAAGUCAGUCGCGUUGGCCGGGGAUCAACCUUGCUUUUGCUGGGCGUACUUUCCGGUUGACGGGUCAGCAUCAAUUUUGACCGUUGGAUAAAGUCUAGGGGAAUGUGGCAUCUUCGGAUGUGUUAUAGCCCUUGGUCGCAUACAACGGUUGGGAUUGAGGAACUCAGCACGCCGCAAGGCCGGGUACUUGUACCACGUUCGUGCUUAGGAUGCUGGCAUAAUGGCUUUAAUCGACCCGUCUUGAAACACGGACCAAGGAGUCUAACAUGCCUGCGAGUGUUUGGGUGGAAAACUCGGACGCGUAAUGAAAGUGAAAGUUGAGAUCCCUGUCGUGGGGAGCAUCGACGCCCGGACCAGACCUUUUGUGACGGAUCCGCGGUAGAGCAUGUAUGUUGGGACCCGAAAGAUGGUGAACUAUGCCUGAAUAGGGUGAAGCCAGAGGAAACUCUGGUGGAGGCUCGUAGCGAUUCUGACGUGCAAAUCGAUCGUCAAAUUUGGGUAUAGGGGCGAAAGACUAAUCGAACCAUCUAGUAGCUGGUUCCUGCCGAAGUUUCCCUCA
This 961-nucleotide ribosomal RNA is filed under the name Hebeloma lactariolens. RNAcentral's name for it is "eukaryotic LSU rRNA". It matches the Rfam family "Eukaryotic large subunit ribosomal RNA", at positions 29 to 975 of the family's 3401-position model. Lineage: Eukaryota; Fungi; Basidiomycota; Agaricomycetes; Agaricales; Hymenogastraceae. The record is from RNAcentral.